Molecule: long non-coding RNA, 91 nt
Organism: Sinocyclocheilus rhinocerous
Lineage: Eukaryota; Metazoa; Chordata; Actinopteri; Cypriniformes; Cyprinidae
Exons: 3
Source: RefSeq, a predicted model, not a curated record
UGGCUGUUUUAAUUAACUCCAUCAUAACAUUUAUAUGACCAGGGUAACUUCUCCACUAGAAACUAUGGUGUGCUCACUUGAGACUGCCUUG